Molecule: ribosomal RNA, 465 nt
Filed under: uncultured bacterium
Lineage: Bacteria
Description: partial 16S ribosomal RNA
Rfam family: Bacterial small subunit ribosomal RNA
Source: RNAcentral
CCUACGGGAGGCAGCAGUAGGGAAUCUUCCACAAUGGGCGAAAGCCUGAUGGAGCAACGCCGCGUGGGUGAAGAAGGUCUUCCGAUCGUAAAACCCUGUUGUUAGAGAAGAAAGUGCGCGAGAGUAACUGUUCACGUUUCGACGGUAUCUAACCAGACAGCCACGGCUAACUACGUGCCAGCAGCCGCGGGAAUACGUAGGUGGCAAGCGUUAUCCGGAUUUAUUGGGCGUAAAGGGAACGCAGGCGGUCUUUUAAGUCUGAUGUGAAAGUCUUCGGCUUAACCGGAGUAGUGCAUUGGAAACUGGGAGACUGGAGUGCAGAAGAGGAGAGUGGAACUCCAUGUGUAGCGGUGAAAUGCGUAGAUAUAUGGAAGAACACCAGUGGCGAAGGCGGCUCGCUGGACUGUAACUGACGCUGAGGUUCGAAAGCGUGGGUAGCAAACAGGAUUAGAUACCCGAGUAGUC